GACACACAUAUAAGUCAUACUACGAAAA
Molecule: small RNA, 28 nt
Filed under: Bombyx mori (domestic silkworm)
Lineage: Eukaryota; Metazoa; Arthropoda; Insecta; Lepidoptera; Bombycidae
Description: ovarian small RNA-15353
Source: RNAcentral